Molecule: ribosomal RNA, 339 nt
Filed under: Triticum aestivum (bread wheat)
Lineage: Eukaryota; Viridiplantae; Streptophyta; Magnoliopsida; Poales; Poaceae
Description: partial small subunit ribosomal RNA
Source: RNAcentral
AUGGCUUUAGCUUUAGCCCUCAAAUUUGGCCUUACUCUGGUGCAAAGGGCGGGCUGCAAUCGCCUUAUUAUUAAUUCGAACAACCUUGAGGUGAUUGAUACCAUGUAGGACGAAGGACAGUCGGCGGGUGCGGCGGCGGCAAUCUAUGACGAUUGUUUUCUUUAUGCUUGUGACUUCGUUACUACUAGAUUCGAACAUUGUAACAGAGAAGUAAAUAAAGUUGCUCAUGAGCUCGCUAGAUUAGCUAGAUUUUGUUUGAUUUCUGAUUGGUUUGAGGAACCUCUAAAUGAAAUUGUAACAAUCCUCACAGACGAUGUAUUGUUAGUUUCUAAUCAAUAA